RNAcentral lists this ribosomal RNA (484 nucleotides) under uncultured bacterium. RNAcentral describes it as "partial 16S ribosomal RNA". It matches the Rfam family "Bacterial small subunit ribosomal RNA", at positions 30 to 507 of the family's 1533-position model. The record is from RNAcentral.
AUUGAACGCUGGCGGCAUGCUUUACACAUGCCAGUCGAACGGCAGCACGGGCUUCGGCCUGGUGGCGAGUGGCGAACGGGUGAGUAAUAUAUCGGAACGUACCCAGAAGUGGGGGAUAACGUGGCGAAAGUUACGCUAAUACCGCAUACGAUCUAUGGAUGAAAGCAGGGGACCGCAAGGCCUUGUGCUCCUGGAGCGGCCGAUAUCUGAUUAGCUAGUUGGUGAGGUAAAGGCUCACCAAGGCGACGAUCAGUAGCUGGUCUGAGAGGACGACCAGCCACACUGGAACUGAGACACGGUCCAGACUCCUACGGGAGGCAGCAGUGGGGAAUUUUGGACAAUGGGCGCAAGCCUGAUCCAGCAAUGCCGCGUGAGUGAAGAAGGCCUUCGGGUUGUAAAGCUCUUUUGUCAGGGAAGAAACGGUAGAGGCUAAUAUCCUUUGCUAAUGACGGUACCUGAAGAAUAAGCACCGGCUAACUACGUG